Molecule: small nucleolar RNA, 217 nt
Organism: Cynara cardunculus var. scolymus (artichoke)
Lineage: Eukaryota; Viridiplantae; Streptophyta; Magnoliopsida; Asterales; Asteraceae
Product: small nucleolar RNA U3
Exons: 1
Source: RefSeq, a predicted model, not a curated record
ACGACCUUACUUGAACAGGAUCUGUUCUAUAGGCUCGUACUUCUGCAUUCUUGAUUCCUAAGAAGACAGAAACCCAUGUCAGGUUGAUGAACCACGACCAUGUAACCAGAGCGUGAUUAACAGAACCCAUGGCAUAGUCUAUGCCAUGGCUAAGUAGAGGAUCGUUGUCACCCCAUCUGAUGGGUUCUGGCAUGGUUACAUGGUUGCCUGACAGACA